AUUUCAAGUAAUUAAAUCCAUUCAAGGGGAACAAUUGCGAAUGUAAGGAUUGCACUUUUGCUUAGGAGAUCCAGGGAUGCAAUAUCGUUUACCGGGGCCGCAGGCGAAUCGAGGACCUUUCUCAGCUAAUUCUCGAGCUCCAGCAACGGACACCGAGGGAGAGAACAAGAUGGUAACCAAGAGAAUGCAUAUAAUGAGAAAACCCUUCAUGUUUAAGAUCAUAGAUAUUCUUCAG
RNAcentral lists this unclassified non-coding RNA (235 nucleotides) under Hevea brasiliensis (rubber tree). The record is from RNAcentral. Lineage: Eukaryota; Viridiplantae; Streptophyta; Magnoliopsida; Malpighiales; Euphorbiaceae.